GCACCUACCUGUGGCCGAGUGGUUAAGGCGCGGCCCUGUUAAGGCCGUGGGGUCUCCCCGCGUGCGUUCGAAUCACAUCGGGUGCG
RNAcentral lists this transfer RNA (86 nucleotides) under Pleodorina starrii. RNAcentral describes it as "tRNA-Asn". It matches the Rfam family "tRNA". From Rfam's summary of the family: Transfer RNA (tRNA) molecules are approximately 80 nucleotides in length. Their secondary structure includes four short double-helical elements and three loops (D, anti-codon, and T loops). The record is from RNAcentral. Lineage: Eukaryota; Viridiplantae; Chlorophyta; Chlorophyceae; Chlamydomonadales; Volvocaceae.